This 1540-nucleotide long non-coding RNA is filed under the name Ictidomys tridecemlineatus (thirteen-lined ground squirrel). Its description in RNAcentral is "lncRNA (ENSSTOG00000029460.1)". Lineage: Eukaryota; Metazoa; Chordata; Mammalia; Rodentia; Sciuridae. The record is from RNAcentral.
AUGAGGUGGUUCAAGAAAGAACAGCCCAGCACCCACGUCGCGGGUGCCUGGCCGGCGAGCUUCCUGGCUUGUGUGACGUCAUUAAUGGAGGUUAGUGACAGUCAUCAACCCACUAGUUGGUCGAUUCCAGCGCAAUGGAAACUGGACCCACCUCGACUCUGGCUUGGAGCGGAGAUUCCGAAUCUUGCGAGUGCGCGGGGUCCGCGGUUUGCGCAUGAAGAUGUCCAGCCUGGGCUCUCGCACGCGGGCUUGGUUUUCAGGUCAGUGAAUAAUCCCUGGGUGAGUGGGGGUCCCCUCUGGAACUCCACGUGGUCCUCGAUGGAUGCUACGUGGCCUCGUGGCCGUCAGUGGGGCCUGUGUGGACCCCUGGGCCCCGCGGCCGUAGGAGGGUGCAGUGACGCGGCCUCACGCCUUCUUUUUCAGAUCGGGAGCGACACUUCACAGACGGUGGAGGAAAACGUCCCAGUCCUUAAGGCCAAGGUGACAGAAAUGCGUGGCAUCUGUGCCAAAGUGGACGGCUGGAGAAGGAGAAUUGCUGCGCGGAUGGCGUCAGGCCCAAAUGCUCCUGUGUUCAACGAGCGUCUGUUGAACCAUGGACCCUCCCUGACACGGUGCUGGGACAUCUGAGGUGGGACCCUUGGUCCCCUGCUGUCCGCUGGAGGACCACCAGACGGGGACCAGGAUGGGUCUGACAAGGAGCUGUGGGAGCAGCCCAGGGGGCUGAGCAGAGCCAGAGCGCAGGACUUCCCUAGGAUGGCCUUUCUGCUAAGGUCUGCAGCACGCCCUGGAGAAUCCAGGCAGGGAACAGCACGUGCAAAGGCCCGGGGGCAGGAAAGAGCAAGGCCCUCGGCUGUAGAGCUCCAGGUUAGGGAUGGGCAAAGGACCAUCAAAGGGGCCCCUGUCCCUUUUCCCCUGAGAAAGUGCAAAUUGAUCACAGUAGCACCCUUUAUCUGUGUCUCACUUUCCAUGGCUUCAGUUACCUGUGGUCAACCUCAGUCCAAAAAUAUCAUGUAGAACGUUCUAGAAGCAAACACUUCAUAAGUUUUACCUCUUGUGCCAGCCUGAGCAGGGUGAUAAAAUCUCACGCUGUCUACCCAGGCCACGCAUCACCCCCUCGUCCAGGGCACCCUGCUGUACAGGAUCCCCACCUCUGGUGACGUGGCAGCCCUGCUGGCCUGUCGCAGGCUUGUGCUCCAGGACAGGGUGACACAGUCAUUUUACUGCCAGACGUUGUUAGGAUUGCUCCGUUUGCCUGAGCGGUUGGCGGUCUCCUGCUGGGCCAAGGUGUCAAGUUUGUUGUGAAGCGAGGACAGGAGAAAACAGAGCGCCCCCCGCGGGUCCCCAGGAGGGCAGCCCCUGUGGGGGGUCCUGUGUCCAGGGCCUGUCGCCAGGCUGGGCAGCCACCUGCUGUCUCACUGCAGGCCACCUUCUCGGGAAACCCCUCAGCAGCCCUGGGCCCGCAGGUCCAGCGUCCCUCUGUGGCCUGCCCUGGACUCCUCUCCACGGGGGCCGAGCCGCAGUGGCCUUCAGCGUCUGCUUC